RNAcentral lists this ribosomal RNA (528 nucleotides) under Trigonopterus sp. 568 AR-2022a. Its description in RNAcentral is "partial large subunit ribosomal RNA". It matches the Rfam family "Bacterial large subunit ribosomal RNA", at positions 1837 to 2625 of the family's 2925-position model. The record is from RNAcentral. Lineage: Eukaryota; Metazoa; Arthropoda; Insecta; Coleoptera; Curculionidae.
GAUUAUAAUUUCAAGUCUGACCUGCCCAGUGAGGUAUUUAACGGCCGCGGUAUUUUGACCGUGCAAAGGUAGCAUAGUCACUAGUUUUUUAAUUGAAAGCUUGAAUGAAAGGUUUGAUGAAAAAAGGACUGUCUCUAUAAAAAUUUAUUAGAAUUUUAUUUUUAAGUUAAAAAGCUUAGAUGAGAAUAGAAGACGAGAAGACCCUAUAGAGUUUUAUAUUUUUAAAAUAAUAAAAUUUUAAGGUUUUGAAAUUUGUUUAUUUAUAAAAAUAUUUUGUUGGGGUGAUAGAAAAAUUAAAUUAACUUUUUUUAUAUUAAUACAUUUAUUUAUGAUUAAAUGAUCCUAAAAUUUAGAUUAUAAGAUUAAAUUACCUUAGGGAUAACAGCGUAAUUUUUUUUAGAGUUCUUAUCGAAAAGAAAGAUUGCGACCUCGAUGUUGGAUUAAAAUUAAUUGUUGGUGAAGGAGCUGAUAAAUUAGGUCUGUUCGACCUUUAAAAUUUUACAUGAUCUGAGUUUAAACCGGUGUGAG